ACGCUGGCGGCGUGCCUAAUACAUGCAAGUCGAACGAGAGCGACCGGUGCUUGCACUGGUCAAUCUAGUGGCGAACGGGUGAGUAACACGUGGGUAACCUGCCCAUCAGAGGGGGAUAACAUUCGGAAACGGAUGCUAAAACCGCAUAGGUCCUUUAACCGCAUGGUUGAAGGAGGAAAAGAGGCGCAAGCUUCUGCUGAUGGAUGGACCCGCGGUGCAUUAGCUAGUUGGUGAGGUAACGGCUCACCAAGGCCGUGAUGCAUAGCCGACCUGAGAGGGUGAUCGGCCACAUUGGGACUGAGACACGGCCCAAACUCCUACGGGAGGCAGCAGUAGGGAAUCUUCCGCAAUGGACGCAAGCCUGACGGAGCAACGCCGCGUGAGUGAAGAAGGUUUUCGGAUCGUAAAACUCUGUUGUUAGAGAAGAACAAGUGCUAGAGUAACUGUUAGCGCCUUGACGGUAUCUAACCAGAAAGCCACGGCUAACUACGUGCCAGCAGCCGCGGUAAUACGUAGGUGGCAAGCGUUGUCCGGAUUUAUUGGGCGUAAAGCGAGCGCAGGCGGUUCCUUAAGUCUGAUGUGAAAGCCCCCGGCUCAACCGGGGAGGGUCAUUGGAAACUGGGGAACUUGAGUGCAGAAGAGGAGAGUGGAAUUCCAUGUGUAGCGGUGAAAUGCGUAGAUAUAUGGAGGAACACCAGUGGCGAAGGCGACUCUCUGGUCUGUAACUGACGCUGAGGCUCGAAAGCGUGGGUAGCAAACAGGAUUAGAUACCCUGGUAGUCCACGCCGUAAACGAUGAGUGCUAAGUGUUGGAGGGUUUCCGCCCUUCAGUGCUGCAGUUAACGCAUUAAGCACUCCGCCUGGGGAGUACGACCGCAAGGUUGAAACUCAAAGGAAUAGACGGGGACCCGCACAAGCGGU
Molecule: ribosomal RNA, 920 nt
Filed under: uncultured bacterium
Lineage: Bacteria
Description: bacterial SSU rRNA
Rfam family: Bacterial small subunit ribosomal RNA
Source: RNAcentral